RNAcentral lists this ribosomal RNA (509 nucleotides) under Salmonella enterica. RNAcentral describes it as "partial 23S ribosomal RNA". It matches the Rfam family "Bacterial large subunit ribosomal RNA", at positions 684 to 1191 of the family's 2925-position model. The record is from RNAcentral. Lineage: Bacteria; Pseudomonadati; Pseudomonadota; Gammaproteobacteria; Enterobacterales; Enterobacteriaceae. RNAcentral also lists the same sequence under 2 other names.
UUAAUUGGGCGUUAAGUUGCAGGGUAUAGACCCGAAACCCGGUGAUCUAGCCAUGGGCAGGUUGAAGGUUGGGUAACACUAACUGGAGGACCGAACCGACUAAUGUUGAAAAAUUAGCGGAUGACCUGUGGCUGGGGGUGAAAGGCCAAUCAAACCGGGAGAUAGCUGGUUCUCCCCGAAAGCUAUUUAGGUAGCGCCUCGUGAAUUCAUCUCCGGGGGUAGAGCACUGUUUCGGCUAGGGGGCCAUCCCGGCUUACCAACCCGAUGCAAACUGCGAAUACCGGAGAAUGUUAUCACGGGAGACACACGGCGGGUGCUAACGUCCGUCGUGAAGAGGGAAACAACCCAGACCGCCAGCUAAGGUCCCAAAGUCAUGGUUAAGUGGGAAACGAUGUGGGAAGGCCCAGACAGCCAGGAUGUUGGCUUAGAAGCAGCCAUCAUUUAAAGAAAGCGUAAUAGCUCACUGGUCGAGUCGGCCUGCGCGGAAGAUGUAACGGGGCUAAACCAUG